Molecule: long non-coding RNA, 7331 nt
Organism: Haplochromis burtoni (Burton's mouthbrooder)
Lineage: Eukaryota; Metazoa; Chordata; Actinopteri; Cichliformes; Cichlidae
Exons: 3
Source: RefSeq, a predicted model, not a curated record
UAAAGGAAUCCUAACCACGAGUGAAUCUCUGUGUUGCCUCUUUCAUUCCCCCGGUUCCCCUCCUUUCUUUGCUCCCUUUGUUUUCUUCUUCUUCUUCUUUUUUUCUAUCUCAGGUGAAUUGUAAUCAUGUGAUCAAAACGAGCACCCUCUUCUCCCUUAAAUUAAAAAAAAAAGAACUGUGGGACAAAAAGCAGUUCUGUGUCUAUAAAAAAAGAAAAGAAAAUUGUGGAAAACGCUUGUGUCUCCCCCAUCUACCGCCACUCUUUGUCCGAGUCUCAGUCUGUGGCAUAUAAGGGAAAAAAUGCUCCAGGAGCGCCGAGGACACAACCCGGGGAGCUGUGCUGGGACUUCCCGGCUCCUGAAGCUGUAAAUCGAGGACCUGCGGAGAGAGACACUCCGGGAUUCCCCCCCCCUCCUGUGCAGCUGAGGAUUUGCGGCCCGGCCUCGGGUUGACGUCACUGGAUCAAGAGGAAUUGCAGUCUGUAAGAUAUCAAACUCCAUCUGGUUAUUGUCCAUGUCAAGAACACACAUGACAUUGUGACUGCCUGAAGUCACGGUCGAGUUGUCGUGGAACAUAUUUUGGAAGUCAACAGAAACUGAAGUCCUUCUCUCCUCUGCCCUCUCCUUCCCUACAAUCUGAGAAGAGUCAAAUAUAUCAUCCUCUUCCUCCCCACAGCUCAAUGCCACCUCGUUCUCAUAGCAGAAAGCGUUAAGUGACAUGGGGAUCAAGUCUUUUGUCGCUCUGCAUGCAGACGCAGGAGAAGCAGCGGAAGAAGCCAUGCUCGCAGCUUCAUCCAGCUCUUUGGCGCUGAGAUGGGGCAUUGACGGCACCUCGUAUGUCUUGUGAAAGCGUGCGUAGUCUACCUUGUAGCGGUCACGGUCCUCGUAGAUCACAGGCUCAAACCUGUGGCCCCAGAAGAUCUCUCUGGAAAGGUAGGAGCUACGGAACUGGGUGGUCAUGGCUGUGGCCUCCACCAUUCCCUCCAGGAUCACAACGACCUCAAAGUCAUCUGCCUCCAGAUCAGCUCGGCUCAGAGUAUACAAGGGGCUAUCUUUGUCUAUCUCAUGGACUAUAACCAGUGGAGAUACUAGAAACAGCCUGUCUGUGCCCUCAUCAUAGCCCACAUUGAGGUCCAUCUGCUCUAAAGGGAUGAAUUCGCCCUCAGCUGUGACAUACGACCGUAUGAGCUGGGCACGGACGUGAGCCUCCACAAUGUGGCUCUUCCGCAGGUUCCCCACCCUCCACAUGAGGCACAGCUUGCCAUCACGCAGCGCAAUGACAGCAUUUUUGGAGAACAUGAGGGUCUGGUUCCUCUUCUUUGGCCGAGCCAUCUUGGCCAUAAUGGUGCCAAUCAUGAAAGAGUCAAUGAUGCAGCCUACUAUGGACUGUAUCACCACUGUUAUUACAGCAACAGGGCACUCCUCGGUAACACAGCGCCAUCCGUAACCAAUAGUAGUUUGGGUCUCCAUGGAGAACAGGAGCGCCCCAAUAAACCCCUGAACGUGAAGGAUGCAGGGCAUCCUUUGUGCUUGCUCUCCAGUUGUAUGACCAGAUGUGGCUCCGUGCAGACCUCCAGGUGUCAGUCCAUCACCCUUCAGUGUAGGGUGCUCUUCAAAGUCCCCAUGUGCCAGGGCAACAGUGUAAAAGAUUAAACCAAAAAACAGCCAGGAGACAAGAAAGCUGGUGCAGAAUACAGCCAACAGGUAUCUCCAGCGGAUGUCCACACAGGUGGUGAAGAUGUCAGCUAGAAAGCGCUGCCCCUUUUCUUCCAUGUUGGUGAACACAACGUUACAUUGUCCAUUUUUCUUCACAAAUCGGCUCCGUACUUGGUUGGAGCCCCUUGUCAGAACCUUUCCGUUGUAGUUGUUCAUCACUCCUUGCUCCGUCGUGCUGGGCACGAUAGCGGAGGUUCCUGACCUCCUCCUGUCUUCUCCUUCUGAGGUGCAGGCCAAGUGCAGUCUGAAUCUGGGUGAACUGUGGCCGUUAUGGAGUCCUAAGCUAGAAAUCUUUUGCCUUUCUUCCUCUGGUAAAGUAUCAGACACAAUGCUGUACCUGUCAGGAAAAAAAGGGACUUGGAUUAAAAAUUGUAUUUUUUUUCUUUUAUUCUUAGUUGAUUGUGGCGUACUGUGCAAAACUCUUUUCUUUAUCUGUUGCUUCCAAUUAGCUCCAGAAUUUCCAAUUCCAAUUUUUGAAGGGGUGUUGAGAAAUAGUUCUCUGGGUUUCUGAAGCUCUUUUCAAAGUUUGUCCUUAGACAUUGGCUGCUUUUUUUUACUCAUUCUCAGUCCAGUCAGAUUGGAAGGUCAGCAUCAAGUAACAUUUAUGACUCCAGUCAUAAAACAAAACAUAUAUUGAACUCAGAGUCACAAAUGGUCUACUUAAAUUGACCAAACUCAUCUUCACCUGAGUGUAUCAGCAUCUCCUUUACAUAGAGGAUUACCUGCUAGGAAGGUGAGUUCAAUUUAGCUGCGUGAGAAGGAUCGCUGUCAUCACAGAUUAUAGGAUUAUACGUGACUCAGUGUCAGUCAGACAAAUCAUUUUGGGAUGGACAUGCCUGUACUGUGGGGGCACUUCAUCAUAUGUAAAUGAGUGUUAACACUCUAUUAAUCAUUCAUUGACCCACUGACACUUGAGAGCUCUGUUUGAGAGAUGCUAAGUUUAUGUUGACAAUGACAAAUCGAUGUUAUGUGUUGUUUUUCUUGGGUGGGGAUGUGAGCGGUUGUGGUGCUGGGGGUAAACAUCAUGCUGAUUCGCAAGACACAAAACUGUAAGACAAAAUGAAAUCCAUAAGAACCGCCUUGGUAUAUUUAAGUCACAACAAGCAGUUAAAGAAGAAAGAAAUUAGGUGUUGUGUGUUCAAAAAAUAAGGUGUCCGACUAUUGAUUUACACACAGAAUGGAAAAAAAUGAACAUAGUGCAUAAUACAUCAAGGCAACCUCCUUCUUCACUGUGCGAGGCCUGCUGCAGCUACCUGAAGCCGAGAGCUCUUCAUGUGCAGCUGGUCAGGACAGCGUAGGACGGCCUUGGCCUUUUCUAAGGAUCUGCUUACUGUAAAUAUCCCUGAGCUGGUCCUGACUCACCCUGCCAACCCAAAUUAACAAGCCCAUUCUCACCGGACGGUUGGAUACUUCUAAACCAACCAACGUUCAAAUUAAAAAAGGAUGAAAUUGUUUCAGUGAACGCAGCAGUCUUUGAUCCUCUACAAAUUAGUCAGGAAAUAAUGAGAUGAAGCUGAGAAUUCAAAGAUAGCUGCCCAAACAGAGCUGAUACAGUAAUAAUGAGAUGCUACAGUUCCAGCAACACCAAGUAAAACGAGUUCAGGCUGAUAUUACUGGGCUCACCUGUUGGCUCUACUUGUUCCCAUGGCACCAGUGAUCACAGGUAGAGGGCCACAGUGGGAGGCCAAACUGUGUCCUACUCCCAAACAUCUGGUCUCUUCACAGCAGGUGGUUUUCAGGCCACUGAAGAGACCCCUGGAAGAAGCAUAAAAUUCAACAGAAACUGUCAUGUGAUGGUUGCUGUCUUGCUUUUUUAAACCAACCUCACCACAUUUAAUAUUUUGCAUAAUAGUAAUAAUGCAUGAGUGGAAAAUCUGAGGAAUAGUAGUCUAUGCAUGGUUUUGGUUUUGUGAGUUAAAAUGUGGUUCCCAUGAGGAUGCAUAAGUGUAACAGACAAAGCAAAAAGAAGUCAUCUGAAGUUUUAAAGACUGACAAAGACAUCAACCACAGCCUGGCAUCGCACACUGAAGAAGGCAGCAUAUUUUGUUUAAUUUAAGGAGCGUUUUCUUUCUUUUUAAUUACAGAAAAUGGACUGAAACUGAAAACCUGUGCCUUUUUUCCCAAGACAUCCCAGGCUUGUUGUCAUUUGCUUUGUUAUCAAAUGCUAAUGCUGAUAAAAUGCACCUCUACUUCUUUACAAUAAAAAAAACUGAUUUCUUUUUUCUUUUUUUAAAAGUUUUAGUCCACUUGCAAUCACAUGAAGGGAUCUGUGGCCUAUGAACUAAAAUGAGUUUGACAGAUACUUUGGCAACCUAGCAAAAUUACAUGUUACAAACCUGAUUGCAGCCAGUGUGUUAUAUUACUGCUACACCCAGACCAAGAGAUCAAGGAUAGUAGCAUGAACUUACCUCCCACCCCUCCAAGACUCACAUACCUUACUAUGACACAGUUUAUUUGCAUUUUGUGUUCACCAUUGUGCUUUUAUUUUCUCAGAAGCUUUUCAGACUUAAUGAAAUCCAGUCAGACAAGUCAUUUGAAAUUUUUUGAACAAUGCGUUUACUAUUAAACUCUCUCUUUGUAUCUAUUUAGCACAUCUGCAAUGUCAGAGAGCUGUUUGUGAGACUAUUCGUAUCUUAUGCAUCUUUAAUUGAAAAUAAAAGUUUAUGCAGUUAUUUGUUUAAGACAUAUGGGGCCCGAUCUAAAGGCGCAAAACUGUCUAUAUCUGUCUAUAGUGUAGCUUAUAUCAAUAAUAUAACACUAUAUCGGGCAUCAGAAUCAAAUGCAUGUGUUGAGCUGAGGUUUUUUUUUUACGUGAUUUCUAGUUCAAAAUAUAGUAAAAUAAGAGAAUAAAUUAGCAAAGUGACACUGACUUUUCUUGAAUUUUCAGGUGUCACAUGAAACUGUAUUUUUGUUUCUCUGUAAGACGGGGUCGGAGGCUUUAAUCAUUUCUCCUAAUCAACCAGAGAGUUCACUGGAAAACACAUACACAUAGAGAAAUGUCUGUAAGUGCUGAUUGCAGGGAUUCGAUUUUUAAUAAGUAGUGUGUGUCUGCCUCCACUCAGGCUAACUUCCAGCUAACAGCAUGAUUUUGCAGAUCUCCUAGCUUGUGUCUGUUUCAGUGAGCCAGCAGUGUAUAAGCUCUAAGGCUUCCCUUUGAGUGCAAAAGGUUUCUAAGCUGUAAUGAACAGGAGGGCUGGCAGAGUGCAGGUACCAAAGUGUUGAAGCAGUGAUGAGACACACACAAUACAAACCAGUUAAUGGUCACCACCUAAAACUGGGGAUUUUUUUUUCUGGUGUCAGUUUCCAUAGGAACACAUCUCCUCUGGCAUUUAGGGGAUGGAGGGAAGUGGAGAGAGUCACCAGCUGUGUGUGUGCAUGGAGGGGGGCAGUAUACAGUAUUAAGUGCUCUUAUAAAAUGACUCAGAGAGGGAGGGAGGGGUGGAAUGAGAGAAAGGGUGCAAGGGCAGGAACACAACAGCUACAUGUGACUUUAAAUAUGUUUAAAUGGGCGCUAAGAGGUGACACUCAGUGCAGGCUUUUGAUCUGCAUCACUGAGUGAAAACACAAAUGAGGACGAGAGGAGCCCUGCAGAGUUUGGAUGUUUUACUUUUGCCUGCCUAUUUCCCAAAUAAGUUCAUACUGCACUGAGGGCAAUAGAACCACACUGAUCACAAAAAUAUGAAUGAUAAAAUUUCAAAAAGACAUAUUUUCUCGCAUUUUACAUUUUUAGCAUAUGUCUGGAAAAUAAUCCAGAUUAAAACGUUAUAAGAAGGAAGAGUCUCUGUUAAAGCUUGUGUAUGAAUUGUGCAAAUAUAGGGUAUGUUUAUGGUUUCGUUUCCUCACAUAUGAGGAUUUAGUUCUUUUUUUUGCCUUUUUUUAAACAUGCAAAAUCAAACGUACCUUUUGAAUUGAGAUAUUUGGUCUAAUUACGAUAUUCAAUUGUAGAUUAAGGGUGCCAUUAUCUGACUCAUUCAUAUUGAAGUAAUUUUUGGUUGGAACCCUGCUGUAAUUAUGAAUAUAUUGUUUGUGUGUAUGUUUGUAUAUAGCACAUUUUGCACAUGCAAAUGCAGACAUGUGACUUCGCAACUUGGGGACUUUCUGGCUAUUAGACUCAGCAAAGAUUAAAAAAAGAGGUAAGUGAGCUGGGUGAUAAGAAGGAAAUUAGGAUGCUCAAGUGUUCAUUUCCCCGAAAGCUUUUGAUAAUGGCCCCUGAUGAGAUAAACGACAUUGUCAGCCACUAAGAAAAGUAAUAUUUUCAGUGCGAAUGCCAGAGCUUUAUAUCAGAUGUCAGACAUGCUUUAUAUCAGAUACAGCCUCAGAUGAAGCAGUCAUCAUGCACAAGGAUCUUGAUCGCUGGUCAUCAUGCGUUGAUUGUUGAAAACAGGAAAGUGGCUUCAGUGUCCUUAAAAGACUUUGUGAACAAAUGCAAAUGACAUUGCAUAUAAAUGUUUUCUGCAUGAAGACAAAAUUAGAAGUAAACUGAAAACUACUCAAAUACAACAAGCUAACCUUCAAACUCUGUAUAUACAGGAACUAUUUUUCAAUUGUUGCCUUAAACUAUCGUUUGUAUUCACUGUUGUGGAAUUUGAUUAUUCAGGUUUUGAUCAAUAACUUUGAUAAUCUUAUCAAAAAGACUGUUUUUAGUUAGUCAUCCCACUUCUCUUUGCUUCUCUUUCUUCUGUGAAAGCUAAUCAAUACAUACCCUGGUUUCACCUCAGUACCUACAGAGCAUCAGCAGUAGCCAUGAAGAGAAUUAUUCCCACGCUAUCUUCACAUCCCAGACAUCCUCCAUCUUGGCUUCAAUUCAGAUUUGUUUGGGGUUUUUUUCCUAUUUUGUCCUAUUUUAAUUUUUGCAUAACAUAUUGUAUUUUCUGGUUCACGAUUCAGGCCGGUUAUACAAACUGACCACAUGAUCAUUUUGCAACACAUCGGGUUGAAAGUGAUGACAAAGUUUUAAAAGUAGCAAUGACACUUAGUCACAGGUCACAUUUACCUUGAUCCCGCCUAACUUCUCUUUAUUCUCAUGAGCAGAUAGAGAAAGGUCGCUAUGGCGACUGCUCAUCUGCAGCAGCUCAAGUCUAUUGACCGUUUAAAGUUAGUUGUCUGAUAUCUCAGUCAUGCCUCUGAACAAUGUAGUGAGUUUUUUUGGAAUAAAAUGUCUCACUACAGUUUAUUCAAUUUAACUGACCUAAAGGAUUACCAGCGUUUAUUAGCCUGACGAGACUAGGUCACAGUGAUGUAAUCGAGGAUAAUUAAUCAAUUUGUCCUUCAUACAAACUAAGAAGUUUUAUUUUAUAUUAAAGUUCCUGCACACUGUUGUCCACAUGUUUAGCAUUUUCUGCAAAAGAAAAUGUGUUUGCAUCAUUAUGAAGAUUGUGUCAGAGGAUCCCUUCAACUUCUUCCAUCUUUGUGGAGCCAUCAGUGGAUAAUUUAUUCCCUUUUCCUUCACUUUACUCUGCAGAUGUGGAAGAUACAAUGAGGCUGUUCCUCUCCUUUUUCUGAAGGCUCCAGAAACAAUGAUUCCCUUCUGAUGAGAUUGCAUAAAAACAUAAGACAGUUCGCUCUCACUCUGCGGGGCAAAGCUCCAACGUCCUUAAGUUCAUAAGGUGUGUGAC